AAAAGAUGGAACCAUGAGGGCUUCUAGGAAAAGGUGGAAAUCUCUUAGAAUUUGAGUGUCACUCAUUUUUCUGAUAAAUAUGGGCAUGAUCGGAUCUGUCAUGGCACUGGUGGGUGAGUGAUUCAGGAGAAUAAUGAGUGUAUAAUUAGGUCUGGGGUAGGACAUGGGUCAAAUUCAGUGUCAGACUUAGCUGGUUUCAAUCAUCUUAGCCCCCAUCCUGUUAGCUAGAGUCUUAUCAGCCCAGGCUCAUCUUUGUCCUUGUAGCUAAUUUUAACACCUCCUUUCUUGCUGUUGGUGAUAUUGGUGCUUGAUAUUUUCCUGCUUCUCCUGUAACGACCCAGCAUUCCUAUUUUAUGGGCGUUUUCUUAAAUUAGGGGGUGAAAUAAUCAUUAAAUAUCCUGGAAAAGGAGAGCAUUUCAGGGACCCCUGGUUACUAACCCAAACUUUCUCUCUUAUUUAUUUCUCUCUUAUCUCUCUUAUUAUUUGGCUUUGCCUAGAAGAGUCAUGGACAUGUCACUGUGACCGGGGUUUUGGCCAUUUUUCUUAUUUUGAGUUUUCUGUUAUCCUGUAGUUUAUUUGCCUAGUUCUUAUUUUAGCUGUUGUUUAGGUUUUUCCAUGUUUCUGUCACCUCCCAGGGCUAUGCUCCUAUCAGCAGAACACAGCCAACAAAUCAUUAGUUUGCUAAUAACACAAGUUAUAGCAAUGUAGUCCACGGAUUGACUACUUCUUAGUCAAGUGUCCACCCCUCAUCCAAUCAGCUGUGGCCUUAGUCAGGUGUCCACCCCUCAUCCAAUCAGCUGUGGCCUUAGUCAAGUGUCCACCCCUCAUCCAAUCAGCUGUGGGCUUAGUCAGGUGUCCACCCCUCAUCCAAUCGGCUGUGGCCUUGCUGAAGGUGGCAUUUGGAAGUCAGCUACCUACUCCGCAGGAUGUGUGGGCAAGAAAUUCAUCCUGAAAGUGAUGUGGACAGACGGUCCUCUGAACUAUGAAUAUUAAAAGAACAACUAUUUCCACAUGCCAAAGUGAACGUGGAGGCCACCAAGAAG
RNAcentral lists this long non-coding RNA (1043 nucleotides) under Macaca mulatta (Rhesus monkey). RNAcentral's name for it is "lncRNA (ENSMMUG00000065063.1)". The record is from RNAcentral. Lineage: Eukaryota; Metazoa; Chordata; Mammalia; Primates; Cercopithecidae.